GGAAGCGUGCCCGAUCAAUCAAGGAAUACUUUGAUAGAGUAUACAAAAGGGGUUCAACUCCCCUCACUUCC
RNAcentral lists this transfer RNA (71 nucleotides) under Coleonyx mitratus. RNAcentral describes it as "tRNA-Ile". Lineage: Eukaryota; Metazoa; Chordata; Lepidosauria; Squamata; Eublepharidae. The record is from RNAcentral.